Molecule: ribosomal RNA, 823 nt
Filed under: Micromonospora sp.
Lineage: Bacteria; Bacillati; Actinomycetota; Actinomycetes; Micromonosporales; Micromonosporaceae
Description: bacterial SSU rRNA
Rfam family: Bacterial small subunit ribosomal RNA
Source: RNAcentral
CGCUGGCGGCGUGCUUAACACAUGCAAGUCGAGCGGAAAGGCCCUUCGGGGUACUCGAGCGGCGAACGGGUGAGUAACACGUGAGCAACCUGCCCCAGGCUUUGGGAUAACCCCGGGAAACCGGGGCUAAUACCGAAUAUGACCUCUGACCGCAUGGUUGGUGGUGGAAAGUUUUUCGGCUUGGGAUGGGCUCGCGGCCUAUCAGCUUGUUGGUGGGGUGAUGGCCUACCAAGGCGACGACGGGUAGCCGGCCUGAGAGGGCGACCGGCCACACUGGGACUGAGACACGGCCCAGACUCCUACGGGAGGCAGCAGUGGGGAAUAUUGCACAAUGGGCGGAAGCCUGAUGCAGCGACGCCGCGUGAGGGAUGACGGCCUUCGGGUUGUAAACCUCUUUCAGCAGGGACGAAGCGUAAGUGACGGUACCUGCAGAAGAAGCGCCGGCCAACUACGUGCCAGCAGCCGCGGUAAGACGUAGGGCGCGAGCGUUGUCCGGAUUUAUUGGGCGUAAAGAGCUCGUAGGCGGCUUGUCGCGUCGACCGUGAAAACUUGGGGCUCAACCCCAAGCCUGCGGUCGAUACGGGCAGGCUAGAGUUCGGUAGGGGAGACUGGAAUUCCUGGUGUAGCGGUGAAAUGCGCAGAUAUCAGGAGGAACACCGGUGGCGAAGGCGGGUCUCUGGGCCGAUACUGACGCUGAGGAGCGAAAGCGUGGGGAGCGAACAGGAUUAGAUACCCUGGUAGUCCACGCUGUAAACGUUGGGCGCUAGGUGUGGGGGGCCUCUCCGGUUCCCUGUGCCGCAGCUAACGCAUUAAGCGCCCCGCC